CUACGGGUUGCACCAGUGGGGAAUAUUGCACAAUGGGCGAAAGCCUGAUGCAGCAACGCCGCGUGAAGGAUGAAGGGUUUCGGCUCGUAAACUUCUAUCAAUAGGGACGAAAAAAAUGACGGUACCUAAAUAAGAAGCCCCGGCUAACUACGUGCCAGCAGCCGCGGUAAUACGUAGGGGGCAAGCGUUAUCCGGAAUUACUGGGUGUAAAGGGAGAGUAGGCGGCAUGGUAAGUUAGAUGUGAAAGCCCGAGGCUUAACCUCGGGAUUGCAUUUAAAACUAUCAAGCUAGAGUACAGGAGAGGUAAGUGGAAUUCCUAGUGUAGCGGUGAAAUGCGUAGAUAUUAGGAAGAACACCAGUGGCGAAGGCGACUUACUGGACUGAAACUGACGCUGAGGCUCGAAAGCGUGGGGAGCGAACAGGAUUAGAUACCCGGGUAGUC
RNAcentral lists this ribosomal RNA (442 nucleotides) under uncultured bacterium. RNAcentral describes it as "partial 16S ribosomal RNA". It matches the Rfam family "Bacterial small subunit ribosomal RNA", at positions 339 to 795 of the family's 1533-position model. The record is from RNAcentral.